Molecule: small nuclear RNA, 101 nt
Organism: Lycium barbarum (goji berry)
Lineage: Eukaryota; Viridiplantae; Streptophyta; Magnoliopsida; Solanales; Solanaceae
Source: RefSeq, a predicted model, not a curated record
AUCUCUUCGGGGACAUUCGAUAAAAUUGGAAUGACACAAAGAAGAUCAGCAUGGCCGCAGGCAAGGAUGAUACGCACAAAAAAAAAAGUAACCGUGCUUUA